The sequence is a ribosomal RNA, 133 nucleotides long. It matches the Rfam family "5.8S ribosomal RNA", at positions 37 to 154 of the family's 154-position model. Rfam says of the family: 5.8S ribosomal RNA (5.8S rRNA) is a component of the large subunit of the eukaryotic ribosome. It is transcribed by RNA polymerase I as part of the 45S precursor that also contains 18S and 28S rRNA.
UGAAGAGGCUAAAGUUUACACCUGGGGUGCUACUACGGAACGUAAUGUCAAUUGCAGAAUUCCGUGAAUCAUCGAAGCUUUGGACGAAUAUUACACCCCUUGGUAUUCCUGGGGGAUGUCUGCUUGAGCGUAA